GCCCCUGUAGCUCAGCGGAUAGAGCAUUGGUUUCCUAAACCAUGUGCCCCGGUUCGAUUCCGGGCAGGGGUACCA
Molecule: transfer RNA, 75 nt
Filed under: SAR202 cluster bacterium
Lineage: Bacteria; Bacillati; Chloroflexota; Dehalococcoidia
Description: tRNA-Arg
Rfam family: tRNA
About the family: Transfer RNA (tRNA) molecules are approximately 80 nucleotides in length. Their secondary structure includes four short double-helical elements and three loops (D, anti-codon, and T loops). Further hydrogen bonds mediate the characteristic L-shaped molecular structure. tRNAs have two regions of fundamental functional importance: the anti-codon, which is responsible for specific mRNA codon recognition, and the 3' end, to which the tRNAs corresponding amino acid is attached (by aminoacyl-tRNA synthetases). tRNAs cope with the degeneracy of the genetic code in two manners: having more than one tRNA (with a specific anti-codon) for a particular amino acid; and 'wobble' base-pairing, i.e. permitting non-standard base-pairing at the 3rd anti-codon position.
Source: RNAcentral